This 81-nucleotide transfer RNA is filed under the name Dehalococcoidales bacterium. RNAcentral describes it as "tRNA-Leu". The record is from RNAcentral. Lineage: Bacteria; Bacillati; Chloroflexota; Dehalococcoidia; Dehalococcoidales.
GUGGUGGAAUAGGUAGACACGCCAUCUUGAGGGGGUGGUGCGCGUAAGCGCGUCGGAGUUCAAAUCUCCGCCUCGGCACCA